CCUACGGGAGGCAGCAGUGGGGAAUUUUGGACAAUGGACGCAAGUCUGAUCCAGCCAUGCCGCGUGUGGGAAGAAGGCCUUCGGGUUGUAAACCACUUUUGUCAGGGAAGAAACGGCUCGGGUUAAUACCUUGGGCUAAUGACGGUACCUGAAGAAUAAGCACCGGCUAACUACGUGCCAGCAGCCGCGGUAAUACGUAGGGUGCAAGCGUUAAUCGGAAUUACUGGGCGUAAAGCGUGCGCAGGCGGUUAUGCAAGACAGAUGUGAAAUCCCCGGGCUCAACCUGGGAACUGCAUUUGUGACUGCAUGGCUAGAGUACGGUAGAGGGGGAUGGAAUUCCGCGUGUAGCAGUGAAAUGCGUAGAUAUGCGGAGGAACACCGAUGGCGAAGGCAAUCCUCUGGACCUGUACUGACGCUCAUGCACGAAAGCGUGGGGAGCAAACAGGAUUAGAUACCCUGGUAGUCCACGCCCUAAACGAUGUCAACUGGUUGUUGGGAGGGUUUCUUCUCAGUAACGUAGCUAACGCGUGAAGUUGACCGCCUGGGGAGUACGGCCGCAAGGUUGAAGCUCAAAUGAAUUGACGG
Molecule: ribosomal RNA, 585 nt
Filed under: uncultured bacterium
Lineage: Bacteria
Description: bacterial SSU rRNA
Rfam family: Bacterial small subunit ribosomal RNA
Source: RNAcentral